GAUGAAGAACGUAGCGAAAUGCGAUAAGUAAUGUGAAUUGCAGAAUUCAGUGAAUCAUCGAAUCUUUGAACGCACCUUGCACCCUUUGGUAUUCCGAAGGGUAUGCUCGUUUGAGUGUCAUUGUACUCUCACACUUCUAAUUCCUUUCGGGAUUGGGAGCGGUGGACUUGGGUGUUGCUGCUUUAGUUGUGGCUCACAUCAAAUAAGUUAGUGCAACUCUUGGUUGGACAUAGUACGGCGUGAUAAGUGUCUUCGCCGGCGCCUCUGUAAGGAGGGUGGCCGAUCGGGAGCUCUGUGCUUCAAACCGUCUUCGGACAAUCUUUGACAACUUGACCUCAAAUCGAGUAGGACUACCCGCUGAACUUAAGCAUAUCAAUAAGCGGAGGA
This 387-nucleotide unclassified non-coding RNA is filed under the name soil metagenome. Its description in RNAcentral is "partial contains 5.8S ribosomal RNA, internal transcribed spacer 2, and large subunit ribosomal RNA". The stretch from base 1 to 120 matches the Rfam family "5.8S ribosomal RNA", at positions 35 to 154 of the family's 154-position model. The record is from RNAcentral.